Molecule: ribosomal RNA, 442 nt
Filed under: uncultured bacterium
Lineage: Bacteria
Description: partial 16S ribosomal RNA
Rfam family: Bacterial small subunit ribosomal RNA
Source: RNAcentral
CCUACGGGAGGCAGCAGUGGGGAAUAUUGGGCAAUGGGCGCAAGCCUGACCCAGCAACGCCGCGUGAAGGAAGAAGGCUUUCGGGUUGUAAACUUCUUUUAAGAGGGAAGAGCAGAAGACGGUACCUCUUGAAUAAGCCACGGCUAACUACGUGCCAGCAGCCGCGGUAAUACGUAGGUGGCAAGCGUUGUCCGGAUUUACUGGGUGUAAAGGGAGCGCAGGCGGCCUUGCAAGUCUGAUGUGAAAUACCGGGGCUCAACCCCGGAGCUGCAUUGGAAACUGUGAGGCUGGAGUGUCGGAGAGGCAGGCGGAAUUCCUAGUGUAGCGGUGAAAUGCGUAGAUAUUAGGAGGAACACCAGUGGCGAAGGCGGCCUGCUGGACGAUGACUGACGCUGAGGCUCGAAAGCGUGGGGAGCAAACAGGAUUAGAUACCCCUGUAGUC